ACUAAGCGUACACGGUGGAUGCCCUGGCAGUCAGAGGCGAUGAAGGACGUGCUAAUCUGCGAUAAGCGUCGGUAAGGUGAUAUGAACCGUUAUAACCGGCGAUUUCCGAAUGGGGAAACCCAGUGUGWUUCGWCACACUAUCAUUAACUGAAUCCAUAGGUUAAUGAGGCGAACCGGGGGAACUGAAACAUCUAAGUACCCCGAGGAAAAGAAAUCAACCGAGAUUCCCCCAGUAGCGGCGAGCGAACGGGGAGSAGCCCAGAGCCUGAAUCAGUGUGUGUGUUAGUGGAAGCGUCUGGAAAGGCGCGCGAUACAGGGUGACAGCCCCGUACACAAAAAUGCACAUGCUGUGAGCUCGAUGAGUAGGGCGGGACACGUGGUAUCCUGUCUGAAUAUGGGGGGACCAUCCUCCAAGGCUAAAUACUCCUGACUGACCGAUAGUGAACCAGUACCGUGAGGGAAAGGCGAAAAGAACCCCGGCGAGGGGAGUGAAAAAGAACCUGAAACCGUGUACGUACAAGCAGUGGGAGCACGCUUAGGCGUGUGACUGCGUACCUUUUGUAUAAUGGGUCAGCGACUUAUAUUCUGUAGCAAGGUUAACCGAAUAGGGGAGCCGAAGGGAAACCGAGUCUUAACUGGGCGUUAAGUUGCAGGGUAUAGACCCGAAACCCGGUGAUCUAGCCAUGGGCAGGUUGAAGGUUGGGUAACACUAACUGGAGGACCGAACCGACUAAUGUUGAAAAAUUAGCGGAUGACUUGUGGCUGGGGGUGAAAGGCCAAUCAAACCGGGAGAUAGCUGGUUCUCCCCGAAAGCUAUUUAGGUAGCGCCUCGUGAACUCAUCUCCGGGGGUAGAGCACUGUUUCGGCAAGGGGGUCAUCCCGACUUACCAACCCGAUGCAAACUGCGAAUACCGGAGAAUGUUAUCACGGGAGACACACGGCGGGUGCUAACGUCCGUCGUGAAGAGGGAAACAACCCAGACCGCCAGCUAAGGUCCCAAAGUCAUGGUUAAGUGGGAAACGAUGUGGGAAGGCCCAGACAGCCAGGAUGUUGGCUUAGAAGCAGCCAUCAUUUAAAGAAAGCGUAAUAGCUCACUGGUCGAGUCGGCCUGCGCGGAAGAUGUAACGGGGCUAAACCAUGCACCGAAGCUGCGGCAGCGACGCUUAUGCGUUGUUGGGUAGGGGAGCGUUCUGUAAGCCUGCGAAGGUGUGCUGUGAGGCAUACUGGAGGUAUCAGAAGUGCGAAUGCUGACAUAAGUAACGAUAAAGCGGGUGAAAAGCCCGCUCGCCGGAAGACCAAGGGUUCCUGUCCAACGUUAAUCGGGGCAGGGUGAGUCGACCCCUAAGGCGAGGCCGAAAGGCGUAGUCGAUGGGAAACAGGUUAAUAUUCCUGUACUUGGUGUUACUGCGAAGGGGGGACGGAGAAGGCUAUGUUGGCCGGGCGACGGUUGUCCCGGUUUAAGCGUGUAGGCUGGUUUUCCAGGCAAAUCCGGAAAAUCAAGGCUGAGGCGUGAUGACGAGGCACUACGGUGCUGAAGCAACAAAUGCCCUGCUUCCAGGAAAAGCCUCUAAGCAUCAGGUAACAUCAAAUCGUACCCCAAACCGACACAGGUGGUCAGGUAGAGAAUACCAAGGCGCUUGAGAGAACUCGGGUGAAGGAACUAGGCAAAAUGGUGCCGUAACUUCGGGAGAAGGCACGCUGAUAUGUAGGUGAAGUCCCUCGCGGAUGGAGCUGAAAUCAGUCGAAGAUACCAGCUGGCUGCAACUGUUUAUUAAAAACACAGCACUGUGCAAACACGAAAGUGGACGUAUACGGUGUGACGCCUGCCCGGUGCCGGAAGGUUAAUUGAUGGGGUUAGCCGCAAGGCGAAGCUCUUGAUCGAAGCCCCGGUAAACGGCGGCCGUAACUAUAACGGUCCUAAGGUAGCGAAAUUCCUUGUCGGGUAAGUUCCGACCUGCACGAAUGGCGUAAUGAUGGCCAGGCUGUCUCCACCCGAGACUCAGUGAAAUUGAACUCGCUGUGAAGAUGCAGUGUACCCGCGGCAAGACGGAAAGACCCCGUGAACCUUUACUAUAGCUUGACACUGAACAUUGAGCCUUGAUGUGUAGGAUAGGUGGGAGGCUUUGAAGUGUGGACGCCAGUCUGCAUGGAGCCGACCUUGAAAUACCACCCUUUAAUGUUUGAUGUUCUAACGUUGACCCGUAAUCCGGGUUGCGGACAGUGUCUGGUGGGUAGUUUGACUGGGGCGGUCUCCUCCUAAAGAGUAACGGAGGAGCACGAAGGUUGGCUAAUCCUGGUCGGACAUCAGGAGGUUAGUGCAAUGGCAUAAGCCAGCUUGACUGCGAGCGUGACGGCGCGAGCAGGUGCGAAAGCAGGUCAUAGUGAUCCGGUGGUUCUGAAUGGAAGGGCCAUCGCUCAACGGAUAAAAGGUACUCCGGGGAUAACAGGCUGAUACCGCCCAAGAGUUCAUAUCGACGGCGGUGUUUGGCACCUCGAUGUCGGCUCAUCACAUCCUGGGGCUGAAGUAGGUCCCAAGGGUAUGGCUGUUCGCCAUUUAAAGUGGUACGCGAGCUGGGUUUAGAACGUCGUGAGACAGUUCGGUCUGGCGGCCGUAGCGCGGUGGUCCCACCUGACCCCAUGCCGAACUCAGAAGUGAAACGCCGUAGCGCCGAUGGUAGUGUGGGGUCUCCCCAUGCGAGAGUAGGGAACUGCCAGGCAUCAAAUUUAGCGUGCUGAUAUGGCUCAGUUGGUAGAGCGCACCCUUGGUAAGGGUGAGGUCCCCAGUUCGACUCUGGGUAUCAGCACCACUUUUUAGGUUAAAGUUCGGCAGAUUAGAAAAGAAUUUGUCUGGCGGCAGUAGCGCGGUGGUCCCACCUG
This 2877-nucleotide ribosomal RNA is filed under the name Escherichia coli. RNAcentral's name for it is "bacterial LSU rRNA". The record is from RNAcentral. Lineage: Bacteria; Pseudomonadati; Pseudomonadota; Gammaproteobacteria; Enterobacterales; Enterobacteriaceae.